RNAcentral lists this ribosomal RNA (156 nucleotides) under uncultured eukaryote. RNAcentral describes it as "partial Eukaryotic large subunit ribosomal RNA". The stretch from base 1 to 78 matches the Rfam family "Eukaryotic large subunit ribosomal RNA", at positions 1251 to 1328 of the family's 3401-position model. The record is from RNAcentral.
GCCAUGCAAGUCGGAAUCCUCCAAGGAGUGUGUGACACCUCACCUACCGAAUGGAAUAGCCCCGAACAUGGAUAACGCAAGGCAGUCACGACCGACCGUCUGGCUUCGGCGUCCGCGUGAACGGUCACGCGGGCGUGACCGGUAACAGCCAAGUGA